UGGGGAAUAUUGCACAAUUGGCGCAAGCCUGAUGCAGCCAUGUCGCGUGUAUGAAGAAGGCCUUCGGGUUGUAAAGUACUUUCAGCGGGGAGGAAGGGAGUAAAGUUAAUACCUUUGCUCAUUGACGUUACCCGCAGAAGAAGCACCGGCUAACUCCGUGCCAGCAGCCGCGGUAAUACGGAGGGUGCAAGCGUUAAUCGGAAUUACUGGGCGUAAAGCGCACGCAGGCGGUUUGUUAAGUCAGAUGUGAAAUCCCCGGGCUCAACCUGGGAACUGCAUCUGAUACUGGCAAGCUUGAGUCUCGUAGAGGGGGGUAGAAUUCCAGGUGUAGCGGUGAAAUGCGUAGAGAUCUGGAGGAAUACCGGUGGCGAAGGCGGCCCCCUGGACGAAGACUGACGCUCAGGUGCGAAAGCGUGGGGAGCAAACAGG
Molecule: ribosomal RNA, 429 nt
Filed under: Chloroflexota bacterium
Lineage: Bacteria; Bacillati; Chloroflexota
Description: Chloroflexi bacterium partial 16S ribosomal RNA
Rfam family: Bacterial small subunit ribosomal RNA
Source: RNAcentral